CCUACGGGAGGCAGCAGUGGGGAAUCUUGCACAAUGGAGGAAACUCUGAUGCAGCGAUGCCGCGUGAGUGAAGAAGGCCCUUGGGUUGUAAAGCUCUUUCGUCGGGGAAGAAGAUGACUGUACCCGAAUAAGAAGGUCCGGCUAACUUCGUGCCAGCAGCCGCGGUAAU
Molecule: ribosomal RNA, 169 nt
Filed under: uncultured marine bacterium
Lineage: Bacteria
Description: partial 16S ribosomal RNA
Rfam family: Bacterial small subunit ribosomal RNA
Source: RNAcentral